CGACCGGCGCGACGGGUGAGUAACACGUAUCCAACCUGCCGAUAACGUCGGGGAUAGUCCUUUCGAAAGAAAGAUUAAUAUCCGAUAGCAUAUCAAGAUCGCAUGAUUCUUGAUUAAUUAAAAGUAAGUUUUCGGUUAUCGAGUGGGGAUGCGUUCCAUUAGUUAGUUGGGCGGGGUAACGGCCCACCAAGACGACGAUGGAUAGGGGUUCUGAGAGGAAGGUCCCCCACAUUGGAACUGAGACACGGUCCAAACUCCUACGGGAGGCAGCAG
RNAcentral lists this ribosomal RNA (273 nucleotides) under uncultured bacterium. Its description in RNAcentral is "partial 16S ribosomal RNA". It matches the Rfam family "Bacterial small subunit ribosomal RNA", at positions 92 to 354 of the family's 1533-position model. The record is from RNAcentral.